Phthorimaea operculella (potato tuberworm) is the source of this 76-nucleotide non-coding RNA. The record is from the annotation of a GenBank genome assembly. NCBI's taxonomy places the organism in Eukaryota, Metazoa, Arthropoda, Insecta, Lepidoptera, Gelechiidae.
GCCUCCGUGGUAUAGCGGUCAAAACACGUCUGACCCGGCUUGUCAGAAGACGUGGGUUCGAAUCCCAUCGGUGGCG